RNAcentral lists this ribosomal RNA (506 nucleotides) under uncultured bacterium. RNAcentral describes it as "partial 16S ribosomal RNA". It matches the Rfam family "Bacterial small subunit ribosomal RNA", at positions 30 to 523 of the family's 1533-position model. The record is from RNAcentral.
AUUGAACGCUGGCGGCAUGCCUAACACAUGCAAGUCGAACGGCAGCAUGGUGCAGUUUACUGUACUGAUGGCGAGUGGCGGACGGGUGAGUAACGCGUAGGAAUACACCUUUAGGACUGGGACAACUUGUGGAAACGCGAGCUAAUACCGGAUAAUAUCUGAGGAUAAAAGCUGGGGACCUUAGGGCCUGGCGUCUAGAGAGUAGGCUGCGUCUGAUUAGCUAGUUGGUGGGGUAAGGGCCUACCAAGGCGACGGUCGGUGGGUGGUCUGAGAGGAUGAACAGCCACACUGGGACUGAGAGACGGCCCAGACUCCUACGGGAGGCAGCAGUGGGGAAUAUUGGACAAUGGGGGGAACCCUGAUCCAGCGAUGCCGCGUGUGUGAAGAAGGCCUGAGGGUUGUAAAGCACUUUAGGUGGGGAGGAGGAUUUAUUGGUUAAGAGCUGAUGAAUUGGACGUUACCCACGGAAUAAGCACCGGCUAACUCCGUGCCAGCAGCCGCCGUAA